ACCAUUUUACUGUUAUAGUAGAGCCCAAUGGCCAUGUUUCUUCUAAUGAUGUUCCACUGCUUCUUGGCCACUAUGCCGAAAAUCAUUUUGUGAGUCUAGAUAUAGCAAUCAAUGAUGAUUCUGCUGCGCAAGGCCUUCCUUACGGGGACCAUAAUUAUGCAAGAACAGAUACUGUCCCACCAGGUACUACCAGGUACGGUGACCAUGAUUAUGUAAGAACAGAUACUGUCCCCCCACCAGGGUUACAAAUGAAUGUCACUAAAAUCAUAGCAACAACCUGCAGGGAAGACCCAAGAAAUAUACACUCUGGUAAAUACGUCUUUAUUUACUCAUUAUCUACCUUACAUUAGUCCACGUUAAUUAAAUUUAUUCACUUGCUGUUGAUCAAUUUCUUAGUGGCCGUACAUCUGUAAAACAUUUUGACGUAUUAUAAACAAGAAUAUGCAAGCUGCCCUUUGACAUUCAGUUGCUGUUUUUGGGUAUUCCAGACAUUCCACCAAAAAUGAGAAGACUGCAGCCAUUUUACAUUUUAUCAAGUCAUGAGCAGAAAGAAGUAGAUCAAAUGAUGACUACUGCACUAGACAAAAUAGCCGGUGACAGACAACUGUCUGAUUCAAACUUUCCAGGUGUGAUUACAGUACGUGACUUAGCAAAGCUUCAGCCAAACA
Corticium candelabrum is the source of this 668-nucleotide long non-coding RNA. RefSeq lists it as uncharacterized. The record is from RefSeq and is a predicted model, not a curated record. The transcript has 6 exons. NCBI's taxonomy places the organism in Eukaryota, Metazoa, Porifera, Homoscleromorpha, Homosclerophorida, Plakinidae.